AUGCAGUCGACGGUAACAGGAUUAGCUUGCUAAUUGCUGACGAGUGGCGGACGGGUGAGUAAUGCUUAGGGAUCUGCCUUUAGGAGGGGGAUAACCAUUGGAAACGAUGGCUAAUACCGCAUAAUGUCUACGGACCAAAGGGGGCUUCGGCUCUCACCUAGAGAGGAACCUAAGUGAGAUUAGCUAGUUGGUGAGGUAAAGGCUCACCAAGGCGACGAUCUCUAGCUGUUCUGAGAGGAAGAUCAGCCACACUGGAACUGAGACACGGUCCAGACUCCUACGGGAGGCAGCAGUGGGGAAUAUUGCACAAUGGGGGAAACCCUGAUGCAGCCAUGCCGCGUGUGUGAAGAAGGCCUUCGGGUUGUAAAGCACUUUCAGUUGUGAGGAAAGGUUAGUAGUUAAUACCUGCUAGCUGUGACGUUAACAACAGAAGAAGCACCGGCUAACUCCGUGCCAGCAGCCGCGGUAAUACG
This 473-nucleotide ribosomal RNA is filed under the name uncultured bacterium. Its description in RNAcentral is "bacterial SSU rRNA". It matches the Rfam family "Bacterial small subunit ribosomal RNA", at positions 55 to 527 of the family's 1533-position model. The record is from RNAcentral.